RNAcentral lists this ribosomal RNA (253 nucleotides) under uncultured Bacteroidales bacterium. RNAcentral's name for it is "partial 16S ribosomal RNA". It matches the Rfam family "Bacterial small subunit ribosomal RNA", at positions 524 to 776 of the family's 1533-position model. The record is from RNAcentral. Lineage: Bacteria; Pseudomonadati; Bacteroidota; Bacteroidia; Bacteroidales.
UACGGGGGAUGCAAGCGUUAUCCGGAUUUAUUGGGUUUAAAGGGUGCGUAGGCUGUGAGGUAAGUCAGCGGUGAAAUACCGGGGCUCAACCCCGGGGCUGCCGUUGAAACCGGAGCGCUAGAAUUCCGAUGCCGUCGGAGGAAUGUGUGGUGUAGCGGUGAAAUGCAUAGAUAUCACACAGAACACCGAUUGCGAAGGCAUCUGACGAAUCGGAGAUUGACGCUGAUGCACGAAAGCGUGGGUAUCGAACAGG